Molecule: long non-coding RNA, 1016 nt
Filed under: Triticum aestivum (bread wheat)
Lineage: Eukaryota; Viridiplantae; Streptophyta; Magnoliopsida; Poales; Poaceae
Description: long non-coding RNA (TAES_LNC025984)
Source: RNAcentral
GGAUUCAUGGUUAUCUCAAUGCAGAAAACUAAACAGGUUACUGAGGAAGCUCUUGCUGCACCUCUUGAUGAUCCAAAGAAUGUUGUUUCGGACCACGGUAAACCCAAUAGGUAUGUGCUCAUAGCCAGUGCCAUUAACCAGUUUCUAGUAAAAUGUAUGUCUGCUGCUCCACUUGGUGUAGGAAGUGUUCUUGUUCCUUUAGCUUGUAUGUUUUAUACUCCAGGGCACGACCUUUUCCUUUCUCGCAAUAAUGAUCUCAUUUAUCUUAUGUUUUCCUACUUAUAGCUAAUGUAUGUUGGCUGAUUAGCAGCGCAAUUAAAUGAAGCGAUAUACCUUUUUUAUGUUGUCUUACCAAGCUCUUAUAUUCAUGUUUCCUUUAUUCCACUUUACGCCUCUAGGUUAAUUAUACAAAAAACAAAAAUAUAGGUUGCCAUGUAUUUCUGCUGAUAAUUCUGUCUCAGGGUCAGUGCUUGUGGAAAAGGCAACACUGCUCCAAAGAAACCAAAGUGUCAUGCGCCACAUGGUUCUGGAGCGUCAUCUUCUGUUGAGGAUACAGGCAAGGCACUACCUGUGCUUCCGACUUUCCCUGUAGUGCCAGCAACCACACCUUCUACAUUACCUUUGGAUGAGGUAUGCAUGAUGUUGUUGCUUGAUGUUCAGUUUACUUCGCAUGAUCUAACUUUUAUACUAAAUAAUAUUGUACUAUAUAAGUUUCAUAGCUGAACACUCCUAUCUCUGCCUUCAAAGGGAAAGGUGAGGCUCAUAUGCCUAAAACACCCAGGCACCAACCCCUCAUUUGUCCUUUGCUAUGUUUUCUAGGCUCUCUUUCUUUACAAAUGUCUGAUGCACUUCCACAUGUCAAUGUAGAAAAUCUCGCAAUAAUGAUCUCAUUUAUCUUAUGUUUUCCUACUUAUAGCUAAUGUAUGUUGGCUGAUUAGCAGUGCAAUUAAAUGAAGCGAUAUACCUUUUUUAUGUUGUCUUACCAAGCUCUUAUAUUCAUGUUUCCUUUAUUCCAC